This is a non-coding RNA of Phthorimaea operculella (potato tuberworm), 68 nucleotides long. The record is from the annotation of a GenBank genome assembly. NCBI's taxonomy places the organism in Eukaryota, Metazoa, Arthropoda, Insecta, Lepidoptera, Gelechiidae.
GAUGUGGCGCAGUGGUGGUGCGAUUGCCUGCGACGCAGAAGGUUCCAGGUUCGGUUCCCGGUGGGUCA